GAUGAACGCUAGCGGCAGGCUUAAUACAUGCAAGUCGUGGGGCAGCAGGUUUGUAGCAAUACAGAUGCUGGCGACCGGCAAACGAGUGCGGAACACGUACAGAACCUUCCUUUGAGCGGGGAAUAGCCCAGAGAAAUUUGGAUUAAUACCCCAUAGUAUAAUGAAGUGGCAUCACUUUAUUAUUAAAGAUUUAUCACUCGAAGAUGGCUGUGCGGCUGAUUAGGUAGUUGGCGGGGUAAAGGCCCACCAAGCCUGCGAUCAGUAACUGGUGUGAGAGCACGACCAGUCACACGGGCACUAAGACACGGGCCCGACUCCUACGGGAGGCAGCAGUAAGGAAUAUUGGUCAAUGGAGGCAACUCUGAACCAGCCAUGCCGCGUGGAGGAUGAAGGUCCUCUGGAUUGUAAACUUCUUUUAUAUGGGACGAAAAAAGGCUUUUCUAAGUCGUCUGACGGUACCAUAUGAAUAAGCACCGGCUAACUCCGUGCCAG
RNAcentral lists this ribosomal RNA (492 nucleotides) under uncultured bacterium. RNAcentral describes it as "bacterial SSU rRNA". It matches the Rfam family "Bacterial small subunit ribosomal RNA", at positions 28 to 511 of the family's 1533-position model. The record is from RNAcentral.